GGUUGACCUCGGAUCAGGUAGGGAUACCCGCUGAACUUAAGCAUAUCAAUAAGCGGAGGAAAAGAAACCAACAGGGAUUGCCUCAGUAACGGCGAGUGAAGCGGCAACAGCUCAAAUUUGAAAUCUGGCACCUCUGGGGGCCCGAGUUGUAAUUUGUAGAGGAUGCUUCGGGCAAGGCCGCGGUCUAAUUUGCUUGGAACAGCGAGUCACAGAGGGUGAGAGUCCCGUCUCGGACCGUGCGCCGCGUCCAUGUGAAGCUCCUUCGACGAGUCGAGUUGUUUGGGAAUGCAGCUCUAAAUGGGUGGUAAAUUUCAUCUAAAGCUAAAUAUUGGCCAGAGACCGAUAGCGCACAAGUAGAGUGAUCGAAAGAUGAAAAGCACUUUGAAAAGAGAGUUAAACAGUAUGUGAAAUUGUUGAAAGGGAAGCGCUUGCAACCAGACUUGCGUGUGACGGUUCCCCCCGCCUUCUGGUGGGGCUACUCCGUCAUCUCCAGGCCAGCAUCGGUUUGGGUGGUCGGUCAAAGACCCCGGGAAUGUAUCUACCUCCGGGUCGACUUAUAGCCCGGGGUGCAAUGCGGCCCACCCGGACCGAGGAACGCGCUUCGGCCCGGAUGCUGGCGUAAUGGUUGUAAGCGGCCCGUCUUGAAACACGGACCAAGGAGUCUAACAUCUAUGCGAGUGUUUGGGUGUCAAACCCCUACGCGGAAUGAAAGUGAACGGAGGUAAGAACCCCGCAAGGGGCGCAUUAUCGACCGAUCCUGAUGUCUUCGGAUGGAUUUGAGUAAGAGCAUAGCUGUUGGGACCCGAAAGAUGGUGAACUAUGCCUGAAUAGGGUGAAGCCAGAGGAAACUCUGGUGGAGGCUCGCAGCGGUUCUGACGUGCAAAUCGAUNNNNNNNNNNNNNNNNNNNNNNNNNNNNNNNNNNNNNNNNNNNNNNNNNNNNNNNNNNNNNNNNNNNNNNNNNNNNNNNNNNNNNNNNNNNNNNNNNNNNCAACUGCCACUGGUUGGCCUAUGCGGCCGGUGAGAAGUUUUAACGUUCAGAGUCUACCUUCUGAUCUCGGUUCAGGGUCGUCGGUUUCACAUCUCUGCGAUCAGCGCUCGUGCGUCACCAAGCCUCAUCUUGAGGUGGCAAUUAACCAUGUGGCAAAUAUGGACAGACAACGGUGCCUCGGKGUCGUUCUCACUGUCUACAGGGGGGAUGUUUUGUAUAGCACACCCUGUAAGCACAGCACUGGGGGGUGUGAGACUGAACGGCUGACAACAUCCUGCCGAAAAUUAGUUACCACUGUCUUGCCCGAUGAGGCCGCUCUCCUUGUUCACGGCAGGGUUGAGGCGGACUGGGCUUCAGAUGCGUGAAGGUACAUGCUCUUUUGAUUUCGAAUCUUGAAACCCGCCGAGGCCAUUUUGGAACAUCUUACAGGCUCUAUAAAUAUAUUUUACACCCGACGGGAGACCUCCGUCGUGAUCACAUUUGUUACCUUUGCAGGAUUUAUUUUUAUGGGUUUAUGUCUUAUCGGUAUAUCUUUAAGCGUUGCCAGGUGGUUAAUCUCCCAACUUUCAGUUGGGUCAGUCUGGUACUUUGUAUUGGGCGACGUCGUCAGUCUUCGGGGAUGUCUUCACGGMUAUCCGAAGCCGUCCUUAUUCAGGGACGGUUCACAGACUAGACAGYGACGGCYGGAGCCUCUUAACCGGGGACGGUAAUUAUAUAGUCGAGUAAAGUUAUUGGAUCUUGCGAGUACUCAACCGGAACACUCGAGAGACUGUACAUCGUUAUAGUGCCCCUUAUUGGGCUUUUUUGGCUUCUUUAAGGUUGGUCUUGAACGAAUUCCGUAGCUUUUGAACKCUGGUAGCUGGUUCCUGUCGAAGUUUCCCUCAGGAUAGCAGUAACGUUUUCAGUUUUAUGAGGUAAAGCGAAUGAUUAGAGGCCUUGGGGUUGAAACAACCUUAACCUAUUCUCAAACUUUAAAUAUGUAAGAAGUCCUUGUUACUUAAUUGAACGUGGACAUUUGAAUGUAUCGUUACUAGUGGGCCAUUUUUGGUAAGCAGAACUGGCGAUGCGGGAUGAACCGAACGUGAGGUUAAGGUGCCGGAAUGUACGCUCAUCAGACACCACAAAAGGUGUCAAUGCAUCCAGACAGCCGGACGGUGGCCAUGGAAGUCGGAAUCCGCUUAGGAGUGUGUAACAACUCACCGGCCGAAUGCAUUGGCCCUGAAAAUGGAUGGCGCUUAAGCGUGCUACCUAUACCUCGCCGUUGGGGUUGAAAUGAUGCCCCAACGAGUAGG
RNAcentral lists this ribosomal RNA (2281 nucleotides) under Verrucaria anziana. RNAcentral's name for it is "partial 28S large subunit ribosomal RNA". It matches the Rfam family "Eukaryotic large subunit ribosomal RNA", at positions 1 to 1385 of the family's 3401-position model. Lineage: Eukaryota; Fungi; Ascomycota; Eurotiomycetes; Verrucariales; Verrucariaceae. The record is from RNAcentral.